GACAAACGCUGGCGGCGUGCUUAACACAUGCAAGUCGAACGGUAAGGCCCUUCGGGGUACACGAGUGGCGAACGGGUGAGUAACACGUGGGUGAUCUGCCCUGCACUUCGGGAUAAGCCUGGGAAACUGGGCCUAAUACCGGAUAGGACCACUGCCUGCAUGGGUGGUGGUGGAAAGCUUUUGCGGUGUGGGAUGGGCCCGCGGCCUAUCAGCUUGUUGGUGGGGCGAUGGCCUACCAAGGCGACGACGGGUAGCCGGCCUGAGAGGGUGACCGGCCACACUGGGACUGAGAUACGGCCCAGACUCCUACGGGAGGCAGCAGUGGGGAAUAUUGCACAAUGGGCGCAAGCCUGAUGCAGCGACGCCGCGUGAGGGAUGACGGCCUUCGGGUUGUAAACCUCUUUCAGCACCGACGAAGCGCAAGUGACGGUAGGUGCAGAAGAAGGACCGGCCAACUACGUGCCAGCCGCCGCCGUAA
This 478-nucleotide ribosomal RNA is filed under the name uncultured bacterium. Its description in RNAcentral is "partial 16S ribosomal RNA". It matches the Rfam family "Bacterial small subunit ribosomal RNA", at positions 28 to 523 of the family's 1533-position model. The record is from RNAcentral.